This 446-nucleotide ribosomal RNA is filed under the name uncultured bacterium. Its description in RNAcentral is "bacterial SSU rRNA". It matches the Rfam family "Bacterial small subunit ribosomal RNA", at positions 331 to 794 of the family's 1533-position model. The record is from RNAcentral.
CCAGACUCCUACGGGAGGCAGCAGUGGGGAAUAUUGCACAAUGGGGGAAACCCUGAUGCAGCGACGCCGCGUGAGCGAUGAAGUAUUUCGGUAUGUAAAGCUCUAUCAGCAGGGAAGAAAAUGACGGUACCUGACUAAGAAGCCACGGCUAACUACGUGCCAGCAGCCGCGGUAAUACGUAGGUGGCAAGCGUUGUCCGGAAUGACUGGGCGUAAAGGGAGCGUAGGUUGUUGUUUAAGUUAAAUGUGAAAGCCCGUGGCUCAACUACGGAACUGCAUUUAAUACUGGACAACUAGAGUGCAGGAGGGGUAAGCGGAAUUCCUAGUGUAGCGGUGGAAUGCGUAGAUAUUAGGAAGAACACCAGAGGCGAAGGCGGCUUACUGGACUGUAACUGACACUGAGGCUCGAAAGCGUGGGGAGCAAACAGGAUUAGAUACCCGCGUACC